CAGCUCUGGACUCCAAGGCCAAUCAGCUGAUUGAGCAGGCAGGCCGACCUGAGUAGCGAGACACCAUAGUGAAGUGAUACGCAUGCUUGUAAUUAAGCGGAAGCCGUGGAGUGAGCGUGCUUCCGAUCAGAAUGACAUCUAUCCAGGGGGUCUUCUCUCCAACAGGGCAAUAUGUAAUCAUAUUUUACUUUGUUAGAGCUAGCUACCCGUCACAACAUUCUGAUAAAAUCUGCUAAUAUGUUUAAUAAAAAAAGUGGUACAGUACAGUUCAGUAGAUUUCAUUAUAGUUUUUAAUGUAAUCUCAUGUAGUCAUAUUGUAAAUACAAAUAAAAUUAAA
Molecule: long non-coding RNA, 337 nt
Organism: Diabrotica virgifera virgifera (western corn rootworm)
Lineage: Eukaryota; Metazoa; Arthropoda; Insecta; Coleoptera; Chrysomelidae
Exons: 2
Source: RefSeq, a predicted model, not a curated record